CCUANGGGUGGCAGCAGUGGGGAAUUUUGGACAAUGGGCGCAAGCCUGAUCCAGCCAUGCCGCGUGCGGGAAGAAGGCCUUCGGGUUGUAAACCGCUUUUGUCAGGGAAGAAAUCCCUUGAGCUAAUACGUCAGGGGGAUGACGGUACCUGAAGAAUAAGCACCGGCUAACUACGUGCCAGCAGCCGCGGUAAUACGUAGGGUGCGAGCGUUAAUCGGAAUUACUGGGCGUAAAGCGUGCGCAGGCGGUUGUGCAAGCCAGAUGUGAAAUCCCCGGGCUUAACCUGGGAACUGCAUUUGUGACUGCACGGCUAGAGUACGGCAGAGGGGGAUGGAAUUCCGCGUGUAGCAGUGAAAUGCGUAGAUAUGCGGAGGAACACCGAUGGCGAAGGCAGUCCCCUGGGCCUGUACUGACGCUCAUGCACGAAAGCGUGGGGAGCAAACAGGAUUAGAUACCCUANUANUC
This 465-nucleotide ribosomal RNA is filed under the name uncultured bacterium. Its description in RNAcentral is "bacterial SSU rRNA". It matches the Rfam family "Bacterial small subunit ribosomal RNA", at positions 338 to 795 of the family's 1533-position model. The record is from RNAcentral.